GGCGGGCGUAGCCAAGUGGUAAGGCAAUGGAUUGUGACUCCAUCACUCGCGGGUUCGAACCCCGUCGUUCGCC
Molecule: transfer RNA, 73 nt
Filed under: Coelastrella saipanensis
Lineage: Eukaryota; Viridiplantae; Chlorophyta; Chlorophyceae; Sphaeropleales; Scenedesmaceae
Description: tRNA-His
Rfam family: tRNA
About the family: Transfer RNA (tRNA) molecules are approximately 80 nucleotides in length. Their secondary structure includes four short double-helical elements and three loops (D, anti-codon, and T loops).
Source: RNAcentral